UCCCUCGUGGCUCAGACGGUAAAGCGUCUGCCUGCAAUGCGGGAAACCCGGGUUCGAUUCCUGGGUUGGGAA
RNAcentral lists this transfer RNA (72 nucleotides) under Bos taurus (domestic cattle). It matches the Rfam family "tRNA". From Rfam's summary of the family: Transfer RNA (tRNA) molecules are approximately 80 nucleotides in length. Their secondary structure includes four short double-helical elements and three loops (D, anti-codon, and T loops). Lineage: Eukaryota; Metazoa; Chordata; Mammalia; Artiodactyla; Bovidae. The record is from Rfam by way of RNAcentral.